AUGGCUGCUCUCCUCAUUUCCCAGGUGGACGCGGAACUGUGGACGGGAGGCAGCAGAAUGGUGUACAAAGUGCUGAGGCUUAAACAGUCCUCCCUAAACACUGAUAAGUACUGGAGUCAAAAACAUUUCACCGCUGAAUGUCACCCACUGGGAACAUGUGCUCGGCUUAUGAAAAUGGAACAGGACCCUUUUUCCACAUUUCUCAGAGUGAGGGUCCCCAGGCACUCAGGAGCAUCAAGAGCAACACGAGCAGGAAGUGACGCAGGGCAGACGCGGAGAGUGCUGCGCAUGUCCCCUGCCCACUCCAGUGCUCGAAGGAAGGAUGUGUAACCUCACAUGCCUUUGUUAAUCUGUGUUCUUUUACAAAAGUCAGAUCCUGGUGUCCCUCAGAUGUUCCUGUGAUGAGGUCCUGCGGCUGACAAGACAGGCAUGCGGCCGAGGACAGAGGCGUGACUGCUCUGCUUGGUUGGAUGGGAUCGAUCCAUUCACUUUUCUAGGAUUGUUUAGUGAGUACCUACUGCGUAGCCAGCUCUCUUCUCGGCCCGGGGCAUACAGAGGACAGAUUUCAGUGCCUGACCUCAUUGAGAUUAAGUUGCUAAGAGGGGAGAUAGUUAUAAUGCAGGAGCAAACAUGUAGCAUGCUAACACGUAACGAGUUCUAUGUAAAAAGAUGAAACAGAGUGAAGGUGGAUAUUUUACAAGUGGUCAUAAAAGUCUUCAUUGAUAAAAUGUGAUAUUUGAGUGGAGACCUGAAGUAAGUGAAACCCGUGGCUAUGGAGAGAAAGAUCAUUCCCAGGAGAAAGCACUGCUCAGGCACUUGGUCUGCUGUGGAUGCUGCCAGUGGUGCACAGGGCUCCACAUGAGAACUGACUUCUGAAUAAGAACGCUUGAUCGCAGUUCUGUGUGCAGUCAGGUGUAGCAAAACAAUGGGAUGGUCCACAGCGAUUGCUUAGGUGAUGAUGGCCCUGUAAGAGAUAAUAGAGCUGAAAGCGAUCACCUGGAGACGCCGAAGCCACCGAAGCAUGACGUGAUGCUGUGUUGCUCCUGGGUUUGUGCUGAUGCUGGCGUGGGCAGAGACCUGCUCACCGCUCGUCGCAUAGGAUACAGCGCAUACAGUUCUAUACAGCGCACAGUGCUGAUCACUGGGGUAAACACGACCCUGCUCGCUCAGGAUCUACUCUAAUUCUGUUGUAUUUUACAGCGUCGUCUACUUAUAAAUAAAAUAGUCUCCUGGAAAACAGUUUCCUGUGUUGCUGGGUCUGUGUAGCACUCUGUGAUGUUCACCCAGAAGUCCCUGCCAGUGCAUUUCUCAGAACUCACACCACUGACAUGACCGGGGCAGUAAUAGCAAUUGACAAGGAUGUCAAAAUCCCUGGGCCAUUAUUUUUUCACCUAAAGAAAGUGGAUAUGUGCCACUUUCUUCUUGUAAAGAAGACUCAUCUUUUGAUUAGAAAGAUAAGGGGGAACCGUGCUAAAUUUAAUAAAUGUUAUCUAUUAUAAAGAAACGUGCAUUUCAUAGGCUUUUGCAUUUUCUGUAAUAAAAUUUCAAUAUGAAAUGGACCGGGAGUAUUGGACAGAAACAUUCUUCUAAAUACUAGUUGAAGUUUAUAACGAGCAGAGCUAUUUCUUUUUCUGUGUAAUCCCAC
Molecule: long non-coding RNA, 1645 nt
Organism: Fukomys damarensis (Damara mole-rat)
Lineage: Eukaryota; Metazoa; Chordata; Mammalia; Rodentia; Bathyergidae
Source: Ensembl